Molecule: non-coding RNA, 45 nt
Filed under: Schistosoma mattheei
Lineage: Eukaryota; Metazoa; Platyhelminthes; Trematoda; Strigeidida; Schistosomatidae
Source: RNAcentral
AUCCAGCUGACGAGUCCCAAAUAAGAUUAAAUGCGCAUCCUUGAU